Molecule: ribosomal RNA, 497 nt
Filed under: uncultured bacterium
Lineage: Bacteria
Description: partial 16S ribosomal RNA
Rfam family: Bacterial small subunit ribosomal RNA
Source: RNAcentral
GAUGAACGCUGGCGGCGUGCCUAAUACAUGCAAGUCGAGCGAACAGAUAAGGAGCUUGCUCCUUUGACGUUAGCGGCGGACGGGUGAGUAACACGUGGAUAACCUACCUAUAAGACUGGGAUAACUUCGGGAAACCGGAGCUAAUACCGGAUAACAUAUUGAACCGCAUGGUUCAAUAGUGAAAGGCGGCUUUGCUGUCACUUAUAGAUGGAUCCGCGCCGGAUUAGCGAGUUGGUAAGGUAACGGCUUACCAAGGCAACGAUGCGUAGCCGACCUGAGAGGGGGGUCGGCGACAGUGGAAGUGAGACACGGUCUAGAGUCCUACGGGAGGCAGCAGUAGGGAAGGGUGCGCAAUGGGCGGAAGCCUGACGGAGCAACGCCGCGCGAGUGAAGAAGGUCUUCGGAUCGUAAAACUCUGUUAUCAGGGAAGAACAAAUGUGUAAGGAACUGUGCAUAUCGUGACGGUACCUGAUCAGAAAGCCACGGCUAACUACGUG